Molecule: ribosomal RNA, 433 nt
Filed under: uncultured bacterium
Lineage: Bacteria
Description: partial 16S ribosomal RNA
Rfam family: Bacterial small subunit ribosomal RNA
Source: RNAcentral
AACGAACGCUGGCGGCAUGCCUAACACAUGCAAGUCGAACGAGACCUUCGGGUCGAGUGGCGCACGGGUGCGUAACGCGUGGGAACCUGCCCUUAGGUUCGGAAUAACUCCCCGAAAGGGGUCGUAAUCCCGGAUAAUGUCUUCGGACCAAAGAUUUAUCGCCUUUGGAUGGGCCCGCGUUGGAUUAGCUAGUUGGUAGGGUAAAAGCCUACCAAGGCGACGAUCCAUAGCUGGUCUGAGAGGAUGAUCAGCCACACUGGGACUGAGACACGGCCCAGACUCCUACGGGAGGCAGCAGUGGGGAAUAUUGGACAAUGGGCGAAAGCCUGAUCCAGCAAUGCCGCGUGAAUGAUGAAGGCCUUAGGGUUGUAAAGCUCUUUUACCCGGGAUGAUAAUGACAGUACCGGGAGAAUAAGCUCCGGCUAACUCCGUG